CUGUGAAGGUUAACCACAUCCUCCUAGUUCCUUUAAAUGCCCUCUGCUACAUCAGACUGAAGAACAAUACAGGCAGAAAUGUGCUCAUCAGUCCACGCUUGUGGUUUGACACCUCACCAAUUCUUGAGUGAUAAAAGGUACCGUCCGGGGGGUUUGAAAUCAGCUCGGGUGAAAGCACCUGAGACGGAACCCCCACACUGAGUCUCACUCCACCCGGUCUCCAGUAGCCUACAUCCUCCCGGACCAACAAACCAGACGACAUCUCUUUUCAGUCUCACCCCCCAUCCAAAUCUAU
Perca fluviatilis (European perch) is the source of this 295-nucleotide long non-coding RNA. RefSeq lists it as uncharacterized. The transcript has 3 exons. The record is from RefSeq and is a predicted model, not a curated record. Lineage: Eukaryota; Metazoa; Chordata; Actinopteri; Perciformes; Percidae.